Molecule: ribosomal RNA, 1836 nt
Filed under: Clostridioides difficile QCD-66c26
Lineage: Bacteria; Bacillati; Bacillota; Clostridia; Peptostreptococcales; Peptostreptococcaceae
Description: bacterial LSU rRNA
Rfam family: Bacterial large subunit ribosomal RNA
Source: RNAcentral
AAAAGGCCCAAAAUUUAUUAAGGGUAAGGGGGUGGGUUCCACCAAACCCGCGGUUUGGUUUAAGAGCCCCCUCUUUUAAAGGGGGGUAAAGCCCCCGGGGGAGGUUCCCGGCCGGAAAUUUUCGGGGGCAAAUUUUUUCCCGGAAGUUCGGCCUCCUAAUGAGGGUUGGGGAGUUCCCCUUCGGGUUGAAGCAUGCCGUUAGGGCAUUUGGACGUUUGGGAGUAGAAAUUUUGCCUGAGUAACGAGAUGUGGUGAGAUCCCACAGGCCGUAACCCAAGGUUUCCAGGGGAAGUUUCUCCGCCUGGGUUAGUCGGACCUAAGUGGAGGCCAAAGGGGUAGGUGAUGGACACAGGUUGAUAUUCCUGUACUACCGAUAACCAUUUGAGAGAAGGGAUGACACAGUAGGAUAAGCUAAGCACACUGUUGGUUAUGUGUGCCCAAGCAUUGAGGCAGUCAANGUAGGCAAAUCCGCUUUGAUAAUGCUGGGAUGUGAUGGGGAGCGAAAUUUAGUAGCGAAGUAGCUGAUUUCACACUGUCAAGAAAAGUCUCUAUCGAGGUUAAAGGUACCCGUACCGCAAACCGACACAGGUGGGUGAGGAGAGUAUCCUAAGGCCAGCGAGAGAACUGUUGUUAAGGAACUCGGCAAAAUGACCCCGUAACUUAGGGAUAAGGGGUGCCACCAUCAGGUGGCCGCAGAGAAUAGGCCCAAGCGACUGUUUACCAAAAACAUAGGUUUCUGCUAAGUCGCAAGACGAUGUAUAGGAGCUGACGCCUGCCCGGUGCUGGAAGGUUAAGGGGAUCUGUUAGAGCAAUCGAAGCAGUGAACUUAAGCCCCAGUAAACGGCGGCCGUAACUAUAACGGUCCUAAGGUAGCGAAAUUCCUUGUCGGGUAAGUUCCGACCCGCACGAAAGGCGUAACGAUUUGGGCACUGUCUCAACAACAGACUCGGUGAAAUUGUAAUUCCGGUGAAGAUGCCGGAUACCUGCGACAGGACGGAAAGACCCCAUGGAGCUUUACUGUAGCUUGACAUUGGGUCUUGGUACUACAUGUACAGGAUAGGUGGGAGGCUUUGAAACCAGGACGCCAGUUUUGGCGGAGCCAUCCUUGGGAUACCACCCUUGUAGUACUGGGACUCUAACCAUAGGCCAUGAAUCUGGUCUUGGGACACUGUCAGGUGGGCAGUUUGACUGGGGCGGUCGCCUCCCAAAAGGUAACGGAGGCGCUCAAAGGUUCUCUCAGUACGGUCGGAAAUCGUACGUAGAGUGUAAAGGCAAAAGAGAGCUUGAUUGCAAGACAUACAGGUCGAGCAAGGAUGAAAAUCGGACUUAGUGAUCCGGUGGUUCUGCGUGGAAGGGCCAUCGCUCAACGGAUAAAAGCUACCCUGGGGAUAACAGGCUUAUCUCCCCCAAGAGUCCACAUCGACGGGGAGGUUUGGCACCUCGAUGUCGGCUCAUCACAUCCUGGGGCUGUAGUAGGUCCCAAGGGUUGGGCUGUUCGCCCAUUAAAGUGGUACGCGAGCUGGGUUCAGAACGUCGUGAGACAGUUCGGUCCCUAUCCGUCGCAGGCGUAGGAAAUUUGAGAAGACCUGUCCUUAGUACGAGAGGACCGGGAUGGACGUACCUCUGGUGUACCAGUUGUUCUGCCAAGGGCAUGGCUGGGUAGCUAUGUACGGAAUGGAUAAGCGCUGAAAGCAUCUAAGCGCGAAGCCAACUUCAAGAUAAGAUUUCCCACCGCAAGGGUAAGACUCCAGAAAGACUAUCUGGUUGAUAGGUCGAAGGUGUAAGUGCAGCAAUGUAUUUAGCUUAUCGAUACUAAUAGGUCGAGGACUUGACCAA